RNAcentral lists this ribosomal RNA (427 nucleotides) under uncultured Bacillota bacterium. RNAcentral describes it as "bacterial SSU rRNA". It matches the Rfam family "Bacterial small subunit ribosomal RNA", at positions 958 to 1381 of the family's 1533-position model. Lineage: Bacteria; Bacillati; Bacillota. The record is from RNAcentral.
AACGCGAAGAACCUUACCAGGUCUUGACAUCCUCUGACAAUCCUAGAGAUAGGACGUUCCCCUUCGGGGGACAGAGUGACAGGUGGUGCAUGGUUGUCGUCAGCUCGUGUCGUGAGAUGUUGGGUUAAGUCCCGCAACGAGCGCAACCCUUGUCCUUAGUUGCCAGCAUUUAGUUGGGCACUCUAAGGAGACUGCCGGUGACAAACCGGAGGAAGGUGGGGAUGACGUCAAAUCAUCAUGCCCCUUAUGACCUGGGCUACACACGUGCUACAAUGGAUGGUACAAAGGGCUGCGAGACCGCGAGGUUUAGCCAAUCCCAUAAAACCAUUCUCAGUUCGGAUUGUAGGCUGCAACUCGCCUACAUGAAGCCGGAAUCGCUAGUAAUCGUGGAUCAGCAUGCCACGGUGAAUACGUUCCCGGGCUUGUA